ACGUGCGCCCGGGGCGCGCGCCUGCGGCGUCGGGGCCGCGGCCGCCUUGGCGGGUGCGUGGGAGUGGGAAAGCGGGGGCCGUGGCGGGUGCUGCGACAGCUGGCGACCCCCGCCCGAUCGGGGGCUGGGGUGCGGGGGGGGGUUUGCAGAAGUAAACCGAGCCUGCAGCUGUCUGCAGUGAGCACGGCCAGCAGUUGUCACGGUCAUGCUGCAGAAGUGCCCAGCUGCGCUAGUGUUACAGAGUCAUGUUGGCGUCCUAGGCCACAGUGCCGGAAUGCUUGUCACCAUUUCCUCGGCAGGCUGCUCUGGCCAUUCCCUCAAGAGGGGGAAUUAAUGAGAAGACGGCGACCAGUAAGCGGGCAAGGAUUGAAGGCAGGUCCGUUGCUCAAAAAUGCGAUUCAAAAUCUGAAGAAACCCUACUCGCCGGUGGUUGGACUGCUCAUUUGCUAAAGCAUGAAAAUUCCCCCGGGAUCCUAAUGCGUGGCUCCAGGCUCCAACAUCUGAAGAAUCCUGGUUUUCUCCGGAGAGGAGUCCACACCUGCCAGUUACAAUAAUAUGCUUAGAUACUGACAGGGACAGAUGUCCAACACAUCUUAUGUGGGGAAAGCCAGACCCCACAAAGCACAGCCAACUGCAGGGUAAUGUAUCUUGAACGCAUUGGUAGAUUAUCUACCAUGCAUAUGUUUAGGCACCAGGAAAGGAAGGAGGGGCCACAGCAUUUGCUGUUCUUUCUUUGUGACGCUGGCGAAAAACCCAAGCCUUGCACUAGACAGGCAGGUGCUUACCGUUUGGAAGGAGAACAAUAACCCAACCCCCUUUUUUUUUAUUUUUUUAAUUUUUGAGACAGGGUUUGUCUGUGUACCUGGUUGUCCUGGAACUCACUCUGUAGACCAGGCUGGCCUGGAAGAAUAACAAUCUUUUUGAGAGAAUACAUUUUCUAAGAGAGCACUGAGAUCAGGACGAGGGGAAAAGUGAAAUCUUGGGCCCUUUGCUUGUUUGUUGUUUAGCAUUUGUAAAAAGAUUAUUUCUUUUUAUUUUGUGUAUAUGGAUGUUUUCCUGCACGUAUGUCUGUGCACCACGUAUGUGCAGUGUCAGUGGAGGUCAGAAGGGGAUGUCAUAUUCUACUGAACUGGAGUUGCAGAUGGUUGUGAGCGUCCAUGUGGGAGCUGGGAACUAAACCAGGUCCUCUGGAGAGCAGUCAGUGCUCUUGACCUCAGAGCCGUGUCUGCAACCCUCUUGAGCAUUUUUAAUGUAUACAUAGUGAGAUGAGGUAACUGCAGGCUUAAGACUGUUUAAGCUCUAGAAAAUGGUCAUGGUUCUCUGAUGGGAAUUUUGUUACAGUUUACAAAUAUGUGCAUAUAAAACGUGUCCAUUUCUACAGAAAAACAAUCUGGAUGCAUGCACUCAAAUGUCACUGUGGUUCUGUCCCUGAGGGCUGGGAGUUCCACUUUCACUUUGCUUAUUCCUCUCACUUUUGAUAUGUUUACAGUGAGUAUUUGUAGCCAGGGAAACUGAAGAUUACCCCAGAACGAAGUGCUGCCCAUGGUAGGUAGGCCUUGUCCAGGAACAGCUGCCUCAGUUCUUCAGGCCUCAAGUCCAGGACUGCCAUCUCUCCCUCAGGCCCUCUCCCCAGGCUCAGCAUUACUCACAGCAUUGGUCUCCAUUUCCUAGGUGCUCGUCCUUUGCUGCCUCUGACUUCCAGCCUCACUGCCCACCUCCUGAACCUGUCUGGGCUCAGCUUACAUUCUGAUUAUUAAGACCCCAAACUCUUGAGUUGGGAAAAUUUGUCCAUAGUCCCAGCUCCUCAGGAAGCUGAGGCAGGAGGAUUAUUUGACCUGCCUGAGCAACAUAGGAACCCCAUCUCAGAAGAGAAAGGAAGGAAAAUGGAAAGGAAAAAAAGAGUACAUUUUCCAUUCCCUCCCCCCCCCCCUCCUCCGGCUUACUGAUCCCAUAGAAUUGACAUCACCUUGGACCUUCUAAUGAAACUGUGUCUUUUCCUCCUGAAUGUUUUCUUGUGCAUUUCAGUACUUUAUAUAAAUCCCUUCAAAGGCUAGAUAAGUGUAAAAUUUGGAUGUAAUCAAUUAAUUUUUUUUUUUUUUUUUGAGAUAGGAUUUCUCUGUGUAGUUUUGGUACCUGUCCUGGAUCUCACUCUGUAGACCAGGCUGGCCUCGAACUCACAGAGAUCCACCUGGCUCUAUCUCCCGAGUGCUGAGAUUAAAGGAGUGCGCCACCACCACCCGGUGUAAUGAAUGAAAUAUUUAACAGCGAGUUUUCAAAAGGCUAUGUCUAGGAGAGAUGGCUCAGCAGGUAAAAGUGUUUGCCUCCAAAACCCGGUAACCCGAGUUCAGUCCCUACAACCCACGUACAAUGCUGAGGCGUGGUAAGCCUCUGUAAUCGUAGCUCUCCUAGAGUCAGACAGGGGGUCGGACAGGAAAACUGGCUUAGAGUAUGCUGUGCAGCAGCAGAAAUGGGAGGCCCUGCCUCCACAAGGUGGGAGGCAAGAACCCACCCGGGAAGGCUGUCCUCUGCGUUCUGUGAACACUCCAUGGAAUAUGGAUGCUCCAACCCCAAACACACAGAGUGCCAUGAUUAAAUUUGAAGCAACAGCUGGGCAGAGUAGUACUUAUUUGUAUUCCCAGCACUCUUGAAGUGGAGGUUAAGAGAAUCAGGAGUUCAAGGUCAGCCUUGACUAUGUCUCAAGUGUAAGAUUAGCCUGAGCUAUAUGAGACCCUAUCUCAUAAACAAAAAAGGGACUGGAGAUAUGUGAGAACACUGGCUGCUCUUGCAGAGGACCCUGAUUCGGUUCCCAGCACCCUCACGGUAACUCACAACCAUCUGUAACUACAAUUUCUGCUGACCCAAUACCCCUUUUGCCUCCGUGGGCACUGCAUGCAUGUGGUGUGCAGACAUACAUGCAGGAAAACCACUCAUACAUAAAAGAAAAAUAAGUCCUAAAACAAGACAGUCCAGCAGAGUGGUGCAUGCUUUAAUCCCCUCACUCAAGAGGCAGAGGCAGGUGGAUUUCUGCCAGCUUGAGGCCAUUCUGGUCUAUAUAGCAAGUUCCAGGCCAGCUAGAGCUACAUAAUGAAACCCUAUCUCAAAACAGAAAACAGGCAAAACAAAAGCAAUAAUAAUAAUAAGCAAAAUCUUGGGAGGUAAGCUAGCCUUUUUAUGGCCAAGGAUGCUCACCGGUUUUGUGACUGGAGACAGCGCCUGGAGUGAGUGGUCCCCUCGAAGUGAGAAGACUGCAGUUUCGGAGUGGAGGCCUCUCCAGUGGCACGAGGGGCUUUAGCCAGCUGAGAGGCUGUCUGGAUGGAGCAUUCGUCAGGGCUUGGAACUUCCCGGAGAAAGGCUGUUGGGGCCAGCUGGGAUUUACUUGGGCUUAUCUAGUAAUCCUUGGUCUGGAGACACAGAUUGCUGUCUGCCUUUUUUUUUUUUUUUUUUUUUUUUUUCAUUUGCUAUACCAAGAUAAAACUCCAGUAAAUGAGAUGCCUAGAAGAACUGAAACCCCCAGAAGUAAUGGAUCUUCCCCCAAGGCCACCCAAGCAGAGAGAAAAUGGGGAGGAACAUGGGGUUCCGGGACACAAGAGAGGGGUGGUAUCUGUGGAGACCUUCCAGAAGUCAUGUUGGAAAGGAGCACGAGCCAGACCUCAGGACCAAACUUUGUAUCACCUGGAAAAUUCUUUACUCUCUGUGCCUUCCUGGGUUGUGUUCUUCACAUUUUCUACCCCUGUUUCCAUGGUGAUUAGUAGUAAAUCAGUUACUGGUAAAACAGUAAAAGCUGAAAGAUAAAAUGUAUCUUUAGGGGCAGGCAAAGUACAGGAGCUAAAGAGGCCUGCAAAGCCAUUCCAUCAGGAGAAGAAAGCAGGCUGGCCCCAGAGCGGCUUUCCGGAAGUGGAGGCAUCUGUCCUGGAAAUGAGCUUGGGGCAGAGAAGGUGGGGGCUUGGGGGAGUAGCAGGCUUAGUUUUUGUAAAAUGCCCACCAUUAUUUUAUUUGUCCCUGUAUUGUAUUUAAUUCACACCAAAUUGCAGAUAAUAAAUUUCCCUGUGUUUGUUUUUAUAUUUCUAGCUGAACCAAAGAAUCAUGACUUACAUGAUCCUCUAUUCUGGAGUGCCUGCUAUACACAGCCUGUGACAUCAACUGCUGACUUGAAAUUGGACAUGGUGGGAGGAUUUACACCAUAGAAAUCUCCAGACAUUAAAAAUGGUGCUUUGGUGGAGGGGCUGGAGAGAUGGCUCAGAGGUUAAAAGCACUGGCUGUUCUUCUAGAGGACCUGGGUUCAAUUCCCAGCACUCACAUGGCAGCUCACAACUGUCUGUAACUACAGUUCCUG
Non-coding RNA from Peromyscus maniculatus bairdii (prairie deer mouse), 4333 nucleotides. NCBI's taxonomy places the organism in Eukaryota, Metazoa, Chordata, Mammalia, Rodentia, Cricetidae. The record is from RefSeq and is a predicted model, not a curated record.